UACGAAGGGGGCUAGCGUUGUUCGGAUUUACUGGGCGUAAAGCGCACGUAGGCGGAUCGUUAGGUCGGGGGUGAAAUCCUGGAGCUCAACUCCAGAACUGCCUUCGAUACUGGCGAUCUUGAGUCCGGAAGAGGUGAGUGGAACUCCUAGUGUAGAGGUGGAAUUCGUAGAUAUUAGGAAGAACACCAGUGGCGAAGGCGGCUCACUGGUCCGGUACUGACGCUGAGGUGCGAAAGCGUGGGGAGCAAACAGG
This 253-nucleotide ribosomal RNA is filed under the name uncultured bacterium. Its description in RNAcentral is "partial 16S ribosomal RNA". It matches the Rfam family "Bacterial small subunit ribosomal RNA", at positions 524 to 776 of the family's 1533-position model. The record is from RNAcentral.